GAGACAGGUGGUGCAUGGUUGUCGUCAGCUCGUGUCGUGAGAUGUUGGGUUAAGUCCCGCAACGAGCGCAACCCCUGCUUACAGUAGCCAGCAGCAAGGCUGGGCACUCUGUAAGGACUGCCGGGGAUAACCCGGAGGAAGGCGGGGACGACGUCAAAUCAUCAUGCCCCUUAUGGGCUGGGCUACACACGUGCUACAAUGGCGCCAACAGAGUGAGGCGAACCUGCGAGGGGGAGCAAAGCACAAAAAAGGCGUCCCAGUUCGGAUUACAGCCUGCAACCCGGCUGUAUGAAGCUGGAAUCGCUAGUAAUCGCAGAUCAGAAUGCUGCGGUGAAUACGUUCCCGGGUCUUGUACACACCGCCCGUCACACCAUGGGAGCCAGGAAUGCCCGAAGCCAGUGGCCUAACCGCAAGGGAGGAGCUGUCGAAGGCAGGCCCGGUAACUGGGGUGAAGUCGUAACAAGG
RNAcentral lists this ribosomal RNA (465 nucleotides) under uncultured bacterium. Its description in RNAcentral is "bacterial SSU rRNA". It matches the Rfam family "Bacterial small subunit ribosomal RNA", at positions 1031 to 1496 of the family's 1533-position model. The record is from RNAcentral.